UACGGAGGGUGCAAGCAUUGAUCGGAAUUACUGGGCGUAAAGGGCGCGUAGGCGGUUUAAUAAGUCGGAUGUGAAAUUCCGGGGCUCAACCCCGGAGCGGCAUUUGAAACUAUUAGACUAGAGUUCAGUUAGGGUAAACGGAAUUCCACGUGUAGCGGUGAAAUGCGUAGAUAUGUGGAAGAACACCGGUGGUGAAGACGGUUUACUGGGCUGAUACUGACGCUGAGGCGCGAAAGCAUGGGGAGCAAACAGG
RNAcentral lists this ribosomal RNA (253 nucleotides) under uncultured bacterium. Its description in RNAcentral is "partial 16S ribosomal RNA". It matches the Rfam family "Bacterial small subunit ribosomal RNA", at positions 524 to 776 of the family's 1533-position model. The record is from RNAcentral.